Molecule: long non-coding RNA, 91 nt
Organism: Neltuma alba
Lineage: Eukaryota; Viridiplantae; Streptophyta; Magnoliopsida; Fabales; Fabaceae
Exons: 3
Source: RefSeq, a predicted model, not a curated record
GUAAUGUAGGACUGCAAAGAUUUAAUAAAAAUCAGUGUUAACCUUAAAAGAAAAUGGGGUUCGAGCAGUAGUUGGCAUAGUCUUGGAAAAU